AGAGUUUGAUUAUGGCUCAGAUUGAACGCUGGCGGCAGGCUUAACACAUGCAAGUCGAACGGUAACAUAAAGAAGCUUGCUUCUUUGAUGACGAGUGGCGGACGGGUGAGUAAUGCUUGGGAAUCUAGCUUAUGGAGGGGGAUAACUACGGGAAACUGUAGCUAAUACCGCGUAGAAUCGAGAGAUGAAAGUGUGGGACCUUCGGGCCACAUGCCAUAGGAUGAGCCCAAGUGGGAUUAGGUAGUUGGUGAGGUAAAGGCUCACCAAGCCGACGAUCUCUAGCUGGUCUGAGAGGAUGACCAGCCACACUGGGACUGAGACACGGCCCAG
RNAcentral lists this ribosomal RNA (330 nucleotides) under uncultured bacterium. Its description in RNAcentral is "bacterial SSU rRNA". It matches the Rfam family "Bacterial small subunit ribosomal RNA", at positions 8 to 334 of the family's 1533-position model. The record is from RNAcentral.